CUUUUUUGUGAAUUACCUGAGGUUAUUCACCUUUUCUCGGUGACUGCAAGACAUCGGGUCAAUCGAGGGGGAAUGGCCAUAUCCCCGAGCUCACUUGGAAAUAAUAAUUUGCCUUUCAACCUACCGACCUUCAGAAUUAUGUUCUCCUACCCUACAAUUUUUUUCCGGGAAAGGCAGAAAGUGGCACGUGUCAUCGAGUAUUUAAGGCAGUAGCGUAAACUAAAACUUUGGAUUCGCCUUACCUCUGCAUAUGCACGUUCUAGCCUACCACUCCAACAACAUCGUCGGACGCUUCACGUAUCAGGUUCUACGUCUGAAGAGAAAUGGAUGUUGCAUGUGUUCAAAUUACACAAUACGUUUGAAUCAACACAUGUUUCGAUAGUGAAAGCAUUCCUUUACAUCUGUCCUACAGAUAAUAACACAUCCCCUGAAGAGUGCUGGUGAAAAUUUCAUUAACAGAUGCCCGACAUUUUCAAUGCAUCGACCGUUUGGGUUCUGCCUGAUGGUACAAUGCCGCUUUGAACUGUUCAACUCGUCUGCUAUUCUACGACCAUAACAAACCUGGAAGCUUUUGAAGAUGAUGGUUUUUAGAUCGGUGAACCAAAAAGACAGCUCUUGAUAAUCAUGGGCUAAGUAAGCCAUAAUUACAGUCACUGUCAGCUACAAUAAAAUUGACGUAUGGAAGAUUCCUACGUGGCUAAAAAUUCAAAAAUAUUUUGGAAAUACAAAUUAGUAUUUAUUUUAA
This is a long non-coding RNA of Daphnia magna, 745 nucleotides long. RefSeq lists it as uncharacterized. The transcript is spliced from 2 exons. NCBI's taxonomy places the organism in Eukaryota, Metazoa, Arthropoda, Branchiopoda, Diplostraca, Daphniidae. The record is from RefSeq and is a predicted model, not a curated record.